AGGACAGGUGGCCGAGUGGUUGAAGGCGCACGCCUGGAAAGCGUGUAUACGUGAUAAGCGUAUCGGGGGUUCGAAUCCCCUCUGUCCGCC
This 90-nucleotide transfer RNA is filed under the name Bordetella pertussis. RNAcentral's name for it is "tRNA-Ser". It matches the Rfam family "tRNA". Rfam says of the family: Transfer RNA (tRNA) molecules are approximately 80 nucleotides in length. Their secondary structure includes four short double-helical elements and three loops (D, anti-codon, and T loops). Further hydrogen bonds mediate the characteristic L-shaped molecular structure. tRNAs have two regions of fundamental functional importance: the anti-codon, which is responsible for specific mRNA codon recognition, and the 3' end, to which the tRNAs corresponding amino acid is attached (by aminoacyl-tRNA synthetases). tRNAs cope with the degeneracy of the genetic code in two manners: having more than one tRNA (with a specific anti-codon) for a particular amino acid; and 'wobble' base-pairing, i.e. permitting non-standard base-pairing at the 3rd anti-codon position. Lineage: Bacteria; Pseudomonadati; Pseudomonadota; Betaproteobacteria; Burkholderiales; Alcaligenaceae. The record is from RNAcentral.